GAUUUCUGACUUGGUGCGCGCUGUCCGUUGCGGUUACGUGACGUGUGCAGUAGCGCGCCUGUCAUACUUCUGGAUUUUGAUGUUGCCCUUCACUGGGUGAUGUCGCUAUCUAGAUCUUUUACUUUGAAAAAAUUAGAGUGUUUAAAGCAGGCUCGCGCUAUGAAUACAUUAGCAUGGAAUAAUAAUUUAGGACUUUGGUCUUAUUUUGUUGGUUUCUAGGACUAAAGUAAUGAUUGAUAGGGACAGUUGGGGGUGCUAGUAUUCAGCGGCCAGAGGUGAAAUUCUUGGAUUCGCUGAAGACUAACUUAUGCGAAAGCAUU
Molecule: ribosomal RNA, 320 nt
Filed under: Eocercomonas sp.
Lineage: Eukaryota; Cercozoa; Cercomonadida; Cercomonadidae
Description: SSU rRNA
Rfam family: Eukaryotic small subunit ribosomal RNA (bases 101-320)
Source: RNAcentral